GAUGAACGCUGGCGGCGUGCCUAAUACAUGCAAGUCGAGCGAACGGACGAGAAGCUUGCUUUUCUGAUGUUAGCGGCGGACGGGUGAGUAACACGUGGAUAACCUACCUAUAAGACUGGGAUAACUUCGGGAAACCGGAGCUAAUACCGGAUAAUAUUUUGAACCGCAUGGUUCAAAAGUGAAAGACGGUCUUGCCGUCACUUAUAGAUGGAUCCGCGCUGCAUUAGCUAGUUGGUAAGGUAACGGCUUACCAAGGCAACGAUGCAUAGCCGACCUGAGAGGGUGAUCGGCCACACUGGAACUGAGACACGGUCCAGACUCCUACGGGAGGCAGCAGUAGGGAAUCUUCCGCAAAGGGCGAAAGCCUGACGGAGCAACGCCGCGUGAGUGAUGAAGGUCUUCGGAUCGUAAAACUCUGUUAUUAGGGAAGAACAUAUGUGUAAGUAACUGUGCACAUCUUGACGGUACCUAAUCAGAAAGCCACGGCUAACUACGUG
Molecule: ribosomal RNA, 497 nt
Filed under: uncultured bacterium
Lineage: Bacteria
Description: partial 16S ribosomal RNA
Rfam family: Bacterial small subunit ribosomal RNA
Source: RNAcentral